RNAcentral lists this ribosomal RNA (497 nucleotides) under uncultured bacterium. RNAcentral's name for it is "partial 16S ribosomal RNA". It matches the Rfam family "Bacterial small subunit ribosomal RNA", at positions 28 to 507 of the family's 1533-position model. The record is from RNAcentral.
GAUGAACGCUGGCGGCGUGCCUAAUACAUGCAAGUCGAACGCAUAGCGAAAGGUGCUUGCACCUUUCAAGUGAGUGGCGAACGGGUGAGUAACACGUGGACAACCUGCCUCAAGGCUGGGGAUAACAUUUGGAAACAGAUGCUAAUACCGAAUAAAACUUAGUGUCACAUGACACAAAGUUAAAAGGCGCUUCGGCGUCACCUAGAGAUGGAUCCGCGGUGCAUUAGUUAGUUGGUGGGGUAAAGGCCUACCAAGACAAUGAUGCAUAGCCGAGUUGAGAGACUGAUCGGCCACAUUGGGACUGAGACACAGCCCAAACUCCUACGGGAGGCUGCAGUAGGGAAUCUUCCACAAUGGGCGAAAGCCUGAUGGAGCAACGCCGCGUGUGUGAUGAAGGCUUUCGGGUCGUAAAGCACUGUUGUAUGGGAAGAACAGCUAGAAUAGGAAAUGAUUUUAGUUUGACGGUACCAUACCAGAAAGGGACGGCUAAAUACGUG